Molecule: ribosomal RNA, 3006 nt
Filed under: Salmonella enterica subsp. enterica serovar Weltevreden
Lineage: Bacteria; Pseudomonadati; Pseudomonadota; Gammaproteobacteria; Enterobacterales; Enterobacteriaceae
Description: bacterial LSU rRNA
Rfam family: Bacterial large subunit ribosomal RNA
Source: RNAcentral
UUAAGCGACUAAGCGUACACGGUGGAUGCCCUGGCAGUCAGAGGCGAUGAAGGGCGUGCUAAUCUGCGAUAAGCGCCGGUAAGGUGAUAUGAACCGUUAUAACCGGCGAUACCCGAAUGGGGAAACCCAGUGUGACUCGUCACACUAUCAUUAACUGAAUCCAUAGGUUAAUGAGGCGAACCGGGGGAACUGAAACAUCUAAGUACCCCGAGGAAAAGAAAUCAACCGAGAUUCCCCCAGUAGCGGCGAGCGAACGGGGAGGAGCCCAGAGCCUGAAUCAGCAUGUGUGUUAGUGGAAGCGUCUGGAAAGGCGCGCGAUACAGGGUGACAGCCCCGUACACAAAAGCGCAUGUGCUGUGAGCUCGAUGAGUAGGGCGGGACACGUGGUAUCCUGUCUGAAUAUGGGGGGACCAUCCUCCAAGGCUAAAUACUCCUGACUGACCGAUAGUGAACCAGUACCGUGAGGGAAAGGCGAAAAGAACCCCGGCGAGGGGAGUGAAAAAGAACCUGAAACCGUGUACGUACAAGCAGUGGGAGCCCCACCACCAAAGCAUUCUCUGGUGUUGAAGGCCCUGCAAAGCAGCAUCGCGGUGGCGGAGCGUCGUUUGCGACGCCCAACACACAAAACAAGCGGUGAGUGCUUUGGGGUGGGGUGACUGCGUACCUUUUGUAUAAUGGGUCAGCGACUUAUAUUCUGUAGCAAGGUUAACCGUAUAGGGGAGCCGGAGGGAAACCGAGUCUUAACCGGGCGUUAAGUUGCAGGGUAUAGACCCGAAACCCGGUGAUCUAGCCAUGGGCAGGUUGAAGGUUGGGUAACACUAACUGGAGGACCGAACCGACUAAUGUUGAAAAAUUAGCGGAUGACCUGUGGCUGGGGGUGAAAGGCCAAUCAAACCGGGAGAUAGCUGGUUCUCCCCGAAAGCUAUUUAGGUAGCGCCUCGUGAAUUCAUCUCCGGGGGUAGAGCACUGUUUCGGCUAGGGGGCCAUCCCGGCUUACCAACCCGAUGCAAACUGCGAAUACCGGAGAAUGUUAUCACGGGAGACACACGGCGGGUGCUAACGUCCGUCGUGAAGAGGGAAACAACCCAGACCGCCAGCUAAGGUCCCAAAGUCAUGGUUAAGUGGGAAACGAUGUGGGAAGGCCCAGACAGCCAGGAUGUUGGCUUAGAAGCAGCCAUCAUUUAAAGAAAGCGUAAUAGCUCACUGGUCGAGUCGGCCUGCGCGGAAGAUGUAACGGGGCUAAACCAUGCACCGAAGCUGCGGCAGCGACGCUUAUGCGUUGUUGGGUAGGGGAGCGUUCUGUAAGCCUGUGAAGGUGGCCUGUGAGGGUUGCUGGAGGUAUCAGAAGUGCGAAUGCUGACAUAAGUAACGAUAAAGCGGGUGAAAAGCCCGCUCGCCGGAAGACCAAGGGUUCCUGUCCAACGUUAAUCGGGGCAGGGUGAGUCGACCCCUAAGGCGAGGCCGAAAGGCGUAGUCGAUGGGAAACGGGUUAAUAUUCCCGUACUUGGUGUUACUGCGAAGGGGGGACGGAGAAGGCUAUGUUGGCCGGGCGACGGUUGUCCCGGUUUAAGCGUGUAGGUGUGUGUUCCAGGUAAAUCCGGUUCACUUUAACACUGAGGCGUGAUGACGAGGCACUACGGUGCUGAAGCAACAAAUGCCCUGCUUCCAGGAAAAGCCUCUAAGCAUCAGGUAACAUCAAAUCGUACCCCAAACCGACACAGGUGGUCAGGUAGAGAAUACCAAGGCGCUUGAGAGAACUCGGGUGAAGGAACUAGGCAAAAUGGUGCCGUAACUUCGGGAGAAGGCACGCUGACACGUAGGUGAAGUGAUUUACUCAUGGAGCUGAAGUCAGUCGAAGAUACCAGCUGGCUGCAACUGUUUAUUAAAAACACAGCACUGUGCAAACACGAAAGUGGACGUAUACGGUGUGACGCCUGCCCGGUGCCGGAAGGUUAAUUGAUGGGGUCAGCGCAAGCGAAGCUCCUGAUCGAAGCCCCGGUAAACGGCGGCCGUAACUAUAACGGUCCUAAGGUAGCGAAAUUCCUUGUCGGGUAAGUUCCGACCUGCACGAAUGGCGUAAUGAUGGCCAGGCUGUCUCCACCCGAGACUCAGUGAAAUUGAACUCGCUGUGAAGAUGCAGUGUACCCGCGGCAAGACGGAAAGACCCCGUGAACCUUUACUAUAGCUUGACACUGAACAUUGAGCCUUGAUGUGUAGGAUAGGUGGGAGGCUUUGAAGUGUGGACGCCAGUCUGCAUGGAGCCGACCUUGAAAUACCACCCUUUAAUGUUUGAUGUUCUAACGUGGACCCGUGAUCCGGGUUGCGGACAGUGUCUGGUGGGUAGUUUGACUGGGGCGGUCUCCUCCUAAAGAGUAACGGAGGAGCACGAAGGUUGGCUAAUCCUGGUCGGACAUCAGGAGGUUAGUGCAAUGGCAUAAGCCAGCUUGACUGCGAGCGUGACGGCGCGAGCAGGUGCGAAAGCAGGUCAUAGUGAUCCGGUGGUUCUGAAUGGAAGGGCCAUCGCUCAACGGAUAAAAGGUACUCCGGGGAUAACAGGCUGAUACCGCCCAAGAGUUCAUAUCGACGGCGGUGUUUGGCACCUCGAUGUCGGCUCAUCACAUCCUGGGGCUGAAGUAGGUCCCAAGGGUAUGGCUGUUCGCCAUUUAAAGUGGUACGCGAGCUGGGUUUAGAACGUCGUGAGACAGUUCGGUCCCUAUCUGCCGUGGGCGCUGGAGAACUGAGGGGGGCUGCUCCUAGUACGAGAGGACCGGAGUGGACGCAUCACUGGUGUUCGGGUUGUCAUGCCAAUGGCACUGCCCGGUAGCUAAAUGCGGAAGAGAUAAGUGCUGAAAGCAUCUAAGCACGAAACUUGCCCCGAGAUGAGUUCUCCCUGAGACUUAGAGUCUCCUGAAGGAACGUUGAAGACGACGACGUUGAUAGGCCGGGUGUGUAAGCGCAGCGAUGCGUUGAGCUAACCGGUACUAAUGAACCGUGAGGCUUAACCUU